AUUGAACGCUGGCGGCAGGCCUAACACAUGCAAGUCGAGCGGAAACACAAGGGAGCUUGCUCCUGAGGUGUCGAGCGGCGGACGGGUGAGUAAUGCCUAGGUAUCUGCCCAGUCGAGGGGGAUAACAGUUGGAAACGACUGCUAAUACCGCAUACGCCCUACGGGGGAAAGGAGGGGACCUUCGGGCCUUUCGCGAUUGGAUGAACCUAGGUGGGAUUAGCUAGUAGGUGGGGUAAUGGCUCACCUAGGCAACGAUCCCUAGCUGGUCUGAGAGGAUGAUCAGCCACACUGGAACUGAGACACGGUCCAG
This 310-nucleotide ribosomal RNA is filed under the name uncultured Shewanella sp. RNAcentral describes it as "bacterial SSU rRNA". It matches the Rfam family "Bacterial small subunit ribosomal RNA", at positions 30 to 334 of the family's 1533-position model. Lineage: Bacteria; Pseudomonadati; Pseudomonadota; Gammaproteobacteria; Alteromonadales; Shewanellaceae. The record is from RNAcentral.